AGGACGAACGCUGGCGGCGUGCCUAACACAUGCAAGUCGAGCGGGGACAUGCGACGGACCUGAAGAUUCGGUUGGAAGGAAAGAUGUAUUGUUCUAGCGGCGGACGGGUGAGUAACGCGUGAGCAACCUGUCCCUACAGGGGGAUAACACAGCGAAAGUUGUACUAAUACCGCAUGAGACCACAGUGAGACAUCUCACAGGGGUCAAAGGAGCAAUCCGGGUAAGGGGUGGGCUCGCGUCCGAUUAGAUAGUUGGUGAGGUAACGGCCCACCAAGUCGACGAUCGGUAGCCGACCUGAGAGGGUGAUCGGCCACAUUGGGACUGAGACACGGCCCAAACUCCUACGGGAGGCAGCAGUGGGGAAUAUUGGGCAAUGGGGGAAACCCUGAACCCCAGCAACGCCGCGUGAGGGAAGAAGUAUUUCGGUAUGUAAAGUUCUAUCAGCAGGGAAGAAAAAUGACGGUACCUGACUAAGAAGCUCCGGCUAAAUACGUGCCAGCAGCCGC
RNAcentral lists this ribosomal RNA (506 nucleotides) under uncultured bacterium. RNAcentral describes it as "bacterial SSU rRNA". It matches the Rfam family "Bacterial small subunit ribosomal RNA", at positions 26 to 518 of the family's 1533-position model. The record is from RNAcentral.